GAUGAACGCUGGCGGCGUGCUUAACACAUGCGAGUCGAACGGAAAGGCCCAAGCUUGCUUGGGUCCUCGAGUGGCGAACGGGUGAGUAACACGUGGGUGAUCUGCCCUGCACUUCGGGAUAAGCCUGGGAAACUGGGUCUAAUACCGGAUAGGACCACUUCUUGGAUGUUGUGGUGGAAAGUUUUUUCGGUGUGGGAUGAGCUCGCGGCCUAUCAGCUUGUUGGUGGGGUAAUGGCCUACCAAGGCGUCGACGGGUAGCCGGCCUGAGAGGGUGUACGGCCACAUUGGGACUGAGAUACGGCCCAGACUCCUACGGGAGGCAGCAGUGGGGAAUAUUGCACAAUGGGCGCAAGCCUGAUGCAGCGACGCCGCGUGGGGGAUGACGGCCUUCGGGUUGUAAACUCCUUUCGCUAGGGACGAAGCGUUUUGUGACGGUACCUGGAGAAGAAGCACCGGCUAACUACGUG
This 467-nucleotide ribosomal RNA is filed under the name uncultured bacterium. RNAcentral's name for it is "partial 16S ribosomal RNA". It matches the Rfam family "Bacterial small subunit ribosomal RNA", at positions 28 to 507 of the family's 1533-position model. The record is from RNAcentral.